GACGAACGCUGGCGGCGUGCUUAACACAUGCAAGUCGAACGGAAAGGCCCUGCUUUUGUGGGGUGCCCGAGUGGCGAACGGGUGAGUAACACGUGAGUAACCUGCCCUUGACUUUGGGAUAACUUCAGGAAACUGGGGCUAAUACCGGAUAGGAGCUCCUGCUGCAUGGUGGGGGUUGGAAAGUUUCGGCGGUCGGGGAUGGACUCGCGGCUUAUCAGCUUGUUGGUGGGGUAGUGGCUUACCAAGGCUUUGACGGGUAGCCGGCCUGAGAGGGUGACCGGCCACAUUGGGACUGAGAUACGGCCCAGACUCCUACGGGAGGCAGCAGUGGGGAAUAUUGCACAAUGGGCGGAAGCCGGAUGCAGCAACGCCGCGUGCGGGAUGACGGCCUUCGGGUUGUAAACCGCUUUCGCCUGUGACGAAGCGUGAGUGACGGUAAUGGGUAAAGAAGCACCGGCUAACUACGU
Molecule: ribosomal RNA, 467 nt
Filed under: uncultured bacterium
Lineage: Bacteria
Description: partial 16S ribosomal RNA
Rfam family: Bacterial small subunit ribosomal RNA
Source: RNAcentral